UUGCUGUCACUUAUAGAUGGAUCCGCGCUGCAUUAGCUAGUUGGUAAGGUAACGGCUUACCAAGGCAACGAUGCAUAGCCGACCUGAGAGGGUGAUCGGCCACACUGGAACUGAGACACGGUCCAGACUCCUACGGGAGGCAGCAGUAGGGAAUCUUCCGCAAUGGGCGAAAGCCUGACGGAGCAACGCCGCGUGAGUGAUGAAGGUCUUCGGAUCGUAAAACUCUGUUAUUAGGGAAGAACAUAUGUGUAAGUAACUGUGCACAUCUUGACGGUACCUAAUCAGAAAGCCACGGCUAACUACGUGCCAGCAGCCGCGGUAAUACGUAGGUGGCAAGCGUUAUCCGGAAUUAUUGGGCGUAAAGCGCGCGUAGGCGGUUUUUUAAGUCUGAUGUGAAAGCCCACGGCUCAACCGUGGAGGGUCAUUGGAAACUGGAAAACUUGAGUGCAGAAGAGGAAAGUGGAAUUCCAUGUGUAGCGGUGAAAUGCGCAGAGAUAUGGAGGAACACCAGUGGCGAAGGCGACUUUCUGGUCUGUAACUGACGCUGAUGUGCGAAAGCGUGGGGAUCAAACAGGAUUAGAUACCCUGGUAGUCCACGCCGUAAACGAUGAGUGCUAAGUGUUAGGGGGUUUCCGCCCCUUAGUGCUGCAGCUAACGCAUUAAGCACUCCGCCUGGGGAGUACGACCGCAAGGUUGAAA
Molecule: ribosomal RNA, 699 nt
Filed under: Staphylococcus aureus
Lineage: Bacteria; Bacillati; Bacillota; Bacilli; Caryophanales; Staphylococcaceae
Description: bacterial SSU rRNA
Rfam family: Bacterial small subunit ribosomal RNA
Source: RNAcentral